Molecule: ribosomal RNA, 392 nt
Filed under: uncultured bacterium
Lineage: Bacteria
Description: partial 16S ribosomal RNA
Rfam family: Bacterial small subunit ribosomal RNA
Source: RNAcentral
AUACGGAGGAUCCGAGCGUUAUCCGGAUUUAUUGGGUUUAAAGGGUGCGCAGGCGGCCAUUUAAGUCAGCGGUUAAAUCGUGGGGCUCAACCCCAUUCUGCCGUUGAUACUGGGUGGCUUGAUUGCGGUCGAGGUUGGCGGAAUUCGUUGUGUAGCGGUGAAAUGCAUAGAUAUGACGAAGAACACCGAUUGCGUAGGCAGCUGACCAGACCGCAAAUGACGCUCAUGCACGAAAGUGCGGGGAUCGAACAGGAUUAGAUACCCUGGUAGUCCGUACAGUAAACGAUGAAUACUUGUUUUCGGCGAUAUAAUGUCGGAGGCAAAGCGAAAGCGAUAAGUAUUCCACCUGGGGAGUACGCCGGCAACGGUGAAACUCAAAGGAAUUGACGGGG